AGGUGUAAAUUGGGCUUUGAUACGCUGCGCGAGCCCUCCUGAGAUCCCAAGGCCUGUGGAAUUCGAGAGAAUUUCAGUUCCACCAGCAGCAUCAACCAGUGAGAAAGGUGUAGCUGGAACUGUUCCUUACCAGAAGAAUUCAGACAACUAUCUUGAGUUUGAUUUCUUCUAAUCUAUUUUUUAUAUAUCUUUUUUUCCGUCGAGGCGAUAUUGGCUGUUCAUCUUCACAAAUUGAAACAUAGGAAGGCUGUACAACAUUUGGAAGAUGUUAUGUGAAGGUUUGAUUAGUUUGAUGAUCAUAUUAUUGUUUUGAGUUGUAAUUCAACAGUUGAAAAUUUGUUGCAUGCCAAAACACUACAAGUUUGAUGCUACCAAUCG
RNAcentral lists this unclassified non-coding RNA (378 nucleotides) under Hevea brasiliensis (rubber tree). Lineage: Eukaryota; Viridiplantae; Streptophyta; Magnoliopsida; Malpighiales; Euphorbiaceae. The record is from RNAcentral.